RNAcentral lists this ribosomal RNA (253 nucleotides) under uncultured bacterium. RNAcentral describes it as "partial 16S ribosomal RNA". It matches the Rfam family "Bacterial small subunit ribosomal RNA", at positions 524 to 776 of the family's 1533-position model. The record is from RNAcentral.
UACGUAGGGGGCAAGCGUUGUCCGGAAUCAUUGGGCGUAAAGAGCGCGUAGGCGGUCCGGUAAGUCCGCUCUGAAAGUCCGGGGCUCAACCCCGGGAGGCGGGCGGAUACUGUCGGGCUAGAGUCCGGAAGAGGCGAGUGGAAUUCCUGGUGUAGCGGUGAAAUGCGCAGAUAUCAGGAGGAACACCAGCGGCGAAGGCGGCGCUCUGGGCCGGUACUGACACUGAGGAGCGAAAGCGUGGGUAGCAAACAGG